AUGGCAUGCGCGGAUUAGUUAGUUGGUAGGGUAACGGCCUAUCAAGGCAUCGAUCCUUAGGGGAACUGAGAGGUUUAUCCCCCACACUGGUACUGAGACACGGACCAGACUCCUACGGGAGGCAGCAGUGAGGAAUAUUGGUCAAUGGUCGGGAGACUGAACCAGCCAAGUCGCGUGAAGGAAGACGGUAUUAUGUAUUGUAAACUUCUUUUACAGGGGAAUAAAAUGCGGGACGCGUCCUGUUUUGUAUGUACCCUGAGAAUAAGCAUCGGCUAACUCCGUGCCAGCAGCCGCGGUAAUACGGAGGAUGCGAGCGUUAUCCGGAUUUAUUGGGUUUAAAGGGUGCGUAGGUGGGAUAUUAAGUCAGCGGUGAAAUCCCGAUGCUCAACAUCGGAACUGCCGUUGAAACUGAUAUUCUUGAGUGUGAACAAGGUAGGCGGAAUUCGUAGUGUAGCGGUGAAAUGCAUAGAUAUUACGAAGAACACCGAUAGCGCAGGCAGCUUACCGGGCCACAACUGACACUGAGGCACGAAAGUGUGGGUAUCAAACAGGAUUAGAUACCCUGGUAGUCCACACAGUAAACGAUGAAUACUAGGUGUUUGCGAUAUACGGCAAGCGCCCGAGAGAAAGCGUUAAGUAUUCCACCUGGGGAGUAC
RNAcentral lists this ribosomal RNA (656 nucleotides) under uncultured bacterium. RNAcentral's name for it is "bacterial SSU rRNA". It matches the Rfam family "Bacterial small subunit ribosomal RNA", at positions 226 to 883 of the family's 1533-position model. The record is from RNAcentral.